UUGGUAACUAUUAUCUUGCACAUUGUAUUUACGAUUUCUCAAACAUUAGCCGUGAACAAGUCCUGUGAUUCUGAUGGACUGGCCUCGAUUAAGAAGAUGACCUGAAGCGAUAUUUGAAGACAUUCAUACUAACGAAUGAAAAACUAAUGAAAGAUCCUGAUAUAAAAAAAAACAACAACAUGUGCUUCAUCAUGCAAUCUUCCAGGUGUUUACAAGGAUGAUGGCCCUUACUCCUGUCUCAUUGACAUCAAAGCUGUGCCUGAUCUGUGCAACUGUCAGGCUGGCCCGCCGUUGGUAGUUGGCUCUGUUGUGAGUCUGUCUGCCAUGGUGGAUCUGCUGCGAGCCGGUUCUGACCGGUCUCCGUCCUACAGCGUGCUGGCCGACCACCUGUGCAAGGUUGCUAAUGUAUCCGUCAGAAACGUUGGUAGUUGGGCUGGGAACCUCAUGAUGAAACAUGCCCACCCAGAAUUCCCUUCAGACGUCUUCACAAUCAUGGAAGCUGCCGGGGCGAAAGUCACCAUAGG
Molecule: long non-coding RNA, 524 nt
Organism: Branchiostoma floridae (Florida lancelet)
Lineage: Eukaryota; Metazoa; Chordata; Leptocardii; Amphioxiformes; Branchiostomatidae
Exons: 3
Source: RefSeq, a predicted model, not a curated record